UAGCCUUGACAUUGAUGGAAUCUUUCAGAGAUGGAGGAGUGCCCUUUUUAGGGAGCCUGAAAACAGGUGCUGCACGGCUGUCGUCAGCUCGUGUCGUGAGAUGUUGGGUUAAGUCCCGCAACGAGCGCAACCCUCGUCCUUAGUUACUAACGGUUUGGCCGAGGACUCUAAGGAGACUGCCUUCGCAAGGAGGAGGAAGGUGAGGACGACGUCAAGUCAUCAUGGCCCUUACGGCUAGGGCAACACACGUGCUACAAUGGUUAGGACAAUGAGAAGCGAUACCGCGAGGUGGAGCAAAUCUAUAAACCUAAUCUCAGUUCGGAUUGUAGUCUGCAACUCGACUACAUGAAGCUGGAAUCACUAGUAAUCGUAGAUCAGCUAUGCUACGGUGAAUACGUUCCCGGGUCU
This 408-nucleotide ribosomal RNA is filed under the name uncultured bacterium. Its description in RNAcentral is "bacterial SSU rRNA". It matches the Rfam family "Bacterial small subunit ribosomal RNA", at positions 976 to 1381 of the family's 1533-position model. The record is from RNAcentral.